Molecule: long non-coding RNA, 452 nt
Filed under: Mytilus galloprovincialis (Mediterranean mussel)
Lineage: Eukaryota; Metazoa; Mollusca; Bivalvia; Mytilida; Mytilidae
Source: RNAcentral
UUUUGUAUGGGGUCUAUAUUAUUAUGUUACCGGAGAAGUUUCAUGUUUAGUUUGGAAAGUUUUUCUUUUAUUUUAGAUACAGCGCGCGCGCAAGAUUGAGGAGACAUCACGUGACGCGGGUUUAUAUUAAGAAAAACUUAGUCUUUUAAUUUCUUUUUAGGUCGGGACCUUGAACAGACAACAUGUCUAGAGAUGGAAUGUACACAAUGUAAUUUCUUUUGUCAUUGUAGGAAAUUGACAUUUUGAUCACAGUUCACCAGCAGUGCAUGUUUUGGAUUUAAUCGAUCCGGUGUAACUUUAAAACACAUUUAAUGAUUAUUUUCUGAUAAUGUACAUUUUUCAGCACCUGUUUGUAACACAGAUUAGUAUUUCAAUCUCGGAGCGGACAUUUUAUUGUAGGUUUUUACUGAGAUUUACGGACCUAGCAAGCGAUUUUUACGGCAUUGCCAUUU